GAAACGGUACUGCACCGGCGCUCUUUGGCGUCGAAGGAGAGACCAGGAAGUUUGUCUUUUCAUUUGCUUUUUGUUCGUGAGCAGUGUUUGUGUUCGCCGCGCGUUAAGCGCACGAGGAAGCUGGACUCAAGGGGCGCCGCAUCACCGCAUGCUCGCUUGGAAGAUCUCGAAGGAAGAGACGGGGCAGCUGUGGCGGCGCCACCGCGGCGGGUGCGGGGUCCCCGGCCAGGAGAGGGCGGCGUUCGGGCGGAGGCGGCUCCGCUUCGGCAGCCUCCGUCGCUGGUGGUCGGAGCGGCCGCGGGAGCGCGCGCUCGCCUAUUCCGCGGCGCCACUCGCCCUCCUCCUCGUCCUCCGGCGCGGCAAGACCGUCUCCUGGACCAAGGACCGAGACGACGAGCGCUACCGGCGGCGCAGCAAGCGCGAGCGCGAACACGAGAUGGAGCCGGAGCUGGAGGGGCUCCGCAGCGGCAGCGUCAGGAUGCGGCGGCUGAGCCUGUCGCGACACCUCUAAAGGAUGCCUAGUCACCAGUUCAAUUACGUGCUCUCCUGGUUCAAAGCCGACGUAAGGGUGCUGCACGGCAUACCUAGACCAUCGCCGGUCGUUAGCCAGUGGUCGAAGGGUUUACACCUACUGCGGUUGUCGAUGACCUAACACUCUGGAGUUGGCCUAUGAAGUCGUUUUGUUCCAGUACGAUAUUGUGGACCUUGUUAGCAGUCCGAAGUUGUAUACUCCUGAUCUUUCACCAACGUGUCGGUAGACGUACGAAGAGGGUAAUGCCCCUUAGACCUCCAAUCAACGAAACCACCACUCCCACUCAGUCUAUGUCCUCUGAUAACCUACGAACUCUAACUCCCGCCACCUUUUUGUACCGCAGUUUUGGUUGCUUAAGCCAACGCGGUACAACUGUGACCACCGAUAGACGUGUCGGUACUGUCUUUCAUAUGGGCGUAACGUCCGCCUGUCGUUCUCCAUACGCCACAACCGCUGUUCGCUGGACUGUUACAGACCGAACGUCGACUUCCACAGAUGAAGGGACACUCGGUCCGGUUUAUCGACAGAACGACCCACUCUUCACAGUAGUGACUUUAUCGUUAACACAUACUAAGCCUUAUGACCUCAACAUUAGUAAUCUUUACAAACCGAUGCAGGCUCAAGUCAAUUAAACUCGAUAAUCACAUUACAUUCGAACAACAUAUACUUGACUUCUCGUGUACGACGACGACUCAUGGUGAAGCAACUACGAGGCAAAGAAGAUUACGUCGUCCACACGUAACUACCGGUCCCCCAUUUAUCCUUCAAUCUCAAUACUUCUGUUUGGAACCUUAGCUUUCCCAAAUCCGAAUCAUCUUGAUUUUGGCUCAUGUACUACACGCCAAAAUCAUGAUGAUCCACACUCCUCCUCCUCCAAUCGGAACUACCGGUCCACCAUGGAGCCUUCCUGUGGAAAGCCAUAAACCCCAGUUACAACGUCCUCCUACCCCAUAACUGCUUCUACACUUGGUAGCUUAGUUUCGGCCUACCUACUUCACCACGGUUCGAAGACCGUAAGAGACACUGUUCUCACGGUGUUUUCGAUUUUCCGUUCAAGAUGUCCUGCCGCCAAGCUGGGCGUUACAACAUACCGCGCCUCACAACCGGCUGAUUUUCUGCUGUACAAGUUGUCAAUCCACACCGCCCCUACGCAUACAACUCUACCUACACACCGGUGUACUCCUUCCUAGCUCAGGCCUUACUACUAUAUGCUCUAUCUCAACCCCAUCGUGGUUAACUCCUCUUCGAACAGGUUGUAGUAGACUCUACCAAACCCGUAUAAGUCGCGUCCGGAGGUCUUCGAGGUCACGUAUCGCCUGCCGAUUUCGCACACCUCUUACAGUUCUCUCCCGCCCCAGCUGGCUUAAACUGUACCCUCCUCAGGCAAUUCUCUCUGGACUUUCUAAUC
RNAcentral lists this ribosomal RNA (1940 nucleotides) under Triticum aestivum (bread wheat). RNAcentral's name for it is "partial small subunit ribosomal RNA". Lineage: Eukaryota; Viridiplantae; Streptophyta; Magnoliopsida; Poales; Poaceae. The record is from RNAcentral.